UUUCCGUAGGUGAACCUGCGGAAGGAUCAUUAUUGGAUUUUGAAACUUCAGGCUGCUGCUGGCUCUACCCGGAGGGCAUGUGCACGCUUGUUGUCCAUUAUUUCUCCCACUGUGCACAAAUUGUAGACCUUUCAGUAGGCCUAUGUUGUUUUUCACAAUCUCUGAAUGUAAUAGAAUGGUUUUGAAUCUUGGGAAAUACAAUACAACUUUCAGCAACGGAUCUCUUGGCUCUC
This 233-nucleotide unclassified non-coding RNA is filed under the name plant metagenome. Its description in RNAcentral is "partial contains small subunit ribosomal RNA, internal transcribed spacer 1, and 5.8S ribosomal RNA". The record is from RNAcentral.